Molecule: long non-coding RNA, 573 nt
Filed under: Gallus gallus (chicken)
Lineage: Eukaryota; Metazoa; Chordata; Aves; Galliformes; Phasianidae
Source: RNAcentral
GUCUUUUUGUAGCGUCCUGGCUUCUGGUCUUGCCAAAUUAGCUUGUAGGUACAGUUCCUUUAAGGCUGAUGUCCCUUCAUAUUCUUCUACUAAUGCAUUAACAUCUCUGACAUCCCAGCCUGAGAGGAGCUCUCUCAUCUGCUUGGCAUGAUCGGCAGAUCGGCUGGACUUCCGACGCUUAAUGAAUUUCUUUUUGAGGGUGGCAAGGCCAGAGGUUUUCUUUUUCUUGUCUUGAGGUUUCUCAUGGCCAUGGUCAAGGCUAUAGAGCUUCGAUUCACAGCCAUAACCUUGAUGAGAAUAGGAUGAUGUUCCUAUGAAUGUCUGUUGUGCCUGUGAACUUCCCCCUACCCUUGGGGAACAUGAGUGAGGGUAGUUAGAUGCAUUAGCACCCAUUUUCUUCAGUCACUCAGGCAUUCCGCCUGCUGGCUCUUCAAUGUAUAAUCCCAUAAUCCUUUAUAAGUCUUCAGUCCCAGAUCCAGCAUUUUGUUCCUCCAUUUCUCCGGCAGCCGUUCGCGGCCGCCAUCCUCCCCGCUCAGCGCCACCCGCUCCCUCCCGGCCCCGCUCCGGCCGCCG